AGCUUUAGAUGUAAACGCCUAACCUUGUGAGAGUUGCUCAAAUCAGUUGUUUCCAUACAAGCUGUGUCGGUCAGGUUUGGAGUUUUUCUUCCUUAAUAAAGCACAACAACUUGUCACGAAAAACUGGCGAGAAGAUAUGGUCCUGUUCUAAAGACCUUACAAAAUCCGCUGCAUUAUCCACAUUUCCCUGCUUUUCCCAGUAAUUUACACAUGUAGCUAAGGUCUCCUUGCUAGGUUUGUAAUUAGGCGGGCAUAUUGAGAUGGCCUUCUUCAAUGCUUCUACAGCCUCUGGGACUAGAUCUUCAUGUAUGUAUCCAUUUGCCAAGUGACACCAUGUGGUGACCCAUGGAACACCCCCUUUUGAUAUUCCUUUGUCCAUUAGGGCCUUAGCCUUCCCCAGAAGACCAUUUCUACAAUAACUGCGAAUCAAAACGUCUGGAACACGGAAAUCAUAGGACAAAGCUUCCGAUUCCCAUUCCUCAAAGAUCUUCUCAACUCUUUCUGUAUCACCAAAUUUCAUUAAUGCGCUCAUCACACUAAUGUAACCUUUAUUAAGAAUUCUCAUGUUCUGCUUAUACAAAUCCCACACUCGGUGCACCUCUUCUUUCUUUCCAGCUUCAGCAUACAGUUUUAACAAAUCAUUAUAUGCACCAUUACUUUUCUUACGAGUCAAAAUCAUGCUGUCAAGUUUACUCAGCAACUCUAGAGCUUUUUCCACCAGCCCAACUUUCAAAUACAACUCUGCUGCAAUACUGUAAGUAUCCCAGUGCAAAAUGAUUUGCUUAUCAGAUUCCAUCAUCGCUAAUAUUUUAUCCAUCCCCUCAGAAUCUCCAGCAGUGGCAUAUGCAGUUAGCCGUAUCGUGAGCGUGAACUCAUCAAAAGUUACGCCCUUCUGCUCCAUUUCAUUCAUCAGUUUAUCCAUUUUCUCCCAUGUUCCUGUUUUACAAUAGAGGUUCAUCAUAUGGUUGUAGCACAAUGUGCCCUUAGCGAACCCCAUAUCUCUUAGUUGUUGCAUUAUGGCCUCAGCUUUCCCUACAGACUUCUCGUUAGUAUAGCAAUUGAGAAGAGCGGUAUACACCUCAGGGCGUCUCAGUAUCUGCGAAAUGCUAUUGAAGUAUUUUUCAACCUCUUCUAGGCCUUUAACUUUAUAGACUAGGUUAAUUCGUUCUGCAACAUCAGCAACUUGGAGGGGGAGAUAUCUUCUGUCUGUCAUCCAAUGGGACACCUGUUCACAAACUCACAAGGAUGAAAGGGCAAAAUUUAUACAAUCAAGAAUGAAGAUAUAUAAGUAAUUAGCUCAGAUCUUUUCACACCAACAAAUUAGUCUUUGCAAUGCGAGGAGCUAUUUUCUUCAUUCCUAUGCUCGUUAGUUGUUACCUUUGGUUAAAUUAACAAAGUGACCAAAGGCCACAGGAGCAAGGAACCACACAUCUGCAAAUUAUUUUUUCCAAUGAUUAAUCACAACUAGGAAGCAAUCUAUGUACACAACAUUUGUAGCUUAUUAUUUCGAUAAUAUCAACUUGCAUAAACUGAGUAGGCACGAACUUUCUUCUUAAAACGGCAUGGCCUUUUGAGUGGUAUGCCUUAGAUCAUUUGGUGACUUCUAGCAUGCACUUGUACAGAGGCAAAUGUAGCCUUUUGGGUGUGGGCUCAUCUGAACCCAUAAUUUUUCACACAGAUCAUAGAUAUAUGUGUAAGAACUUAUUACAAUUUCAACAAAUAUUAGAUUUGGACCGAUAAUUUUAAUUUACCGUAAAUGGGUUUAGAGCUAAAAAGCUCAAAGAUUCAAACCAUUAAGUUUAAAUCUUCGAUCUGCCUUUGCACUUGUACACAAACGCAACAAAGCUGUCAAAUAAAUCAACUGCACCAACUUAUUUUCUCCACCAGAACCUAAUUUAGUAGGGAUCAAAAUUUCUCCAGCACUGUAUAGGGUGAAAUCCAGGCUAGACAGAUGGCGAAUCAUAAGUUGUCAGGCAGAAGCGACAAGCUUGAGUCGGCAUGAAGUCAUUUAGAGAAGUCGGCAAGGAACAGGUAAGUCAUCUGGAUACGAUGCUACGUGUGGAAGCCAUCUAGCUCCGGAGACGUGGUACCAGGUACGAAGUGCAGACCGGAUUACACUUAUUCAAAUAUUCAACCGUUACACAAGAUCCCUAUCAUUACUCAAUGAUGAUAAUGAGCAGCUAUUAGGGUUUUAAGAGAACAUAUUUUGUGGAUCUUAGCCCUUGAUGCUUAGCUAUAUAUAGGGCCUUACUUCCCUGUUAGAGAGGAUCCAAAUUUCACGUCACACUGGUACUACACUAUAAUUCACUAAGCUCUCAAAUUCAUAACACAUAGCUGGUAUACUUUCCGGCAUUGUUAUCACCAUCUUCCUCGAAGCUCAGGCUAAUUCAAUCUUUUAUUUUAGGGAAAAAGGACAGAUAUACCCCGAACUAUCAUAAAUGGUAUGCAAAUAGUCCUGUCAUACUUUUGGGACAUUGAUGUCUGCCGUCCAAAAACUAGAGCAUACAGACCCUUUAUACUAACGGACGGACAUAGACGUGUCAUAAUCUUAUCCACCGAUCCGACAUUUAUCGACGGAUAAGAUAGCGUCACGAGGCCUUAUUUAGUCUUCCAUUAGAGUGAAGGGCAUAUAUGCUCUAAUUUAUGAACGAUAGGGGAACCACUGUCCCAAAAGUAUGACGGAGGAUAUCUGCAUACCAUUUACGAUAGUUGAGGGGUAUACUUGUCCUUUUUUUCCUUUAUUUUAACUCAUAACAAGUUAGUUCAUUACAAUUUAACCAUUUGGUCAAUACAACUCAUGUGUAAUACCUAAUUCAUAUUAGAGACAUAUUUGCUGUAGCAACUGAUUCGGAUUAAGGGCUUAGGUUCGUGCCAUCCAUUUGAGUUCAUGUUUGUAUCAUUUGCUUAAGAAAAGAGAGAACACAAACAGUUUCUUUCACAAUGCAUAGUAUCAAAACUCACUAAACAACCAAAAAAAACAGAAAUAAAGUACCUCAAGGGCAUGUUUGUAUCUUUUAUAGCUGUUUAAUCUUUUGAUAAUCCACUGAAGCUCUCCUUUCGCCACUGUUUUCCCUUCUUCAACCCAUUGUUCUAGUACUGGAACCAUAGACAUAUCUGGGCUGCCUAAAGGUGCAAUUCUUGCGAAAACCCAAUCACGCUUCUUAUAUUUAGUAGAUGUUGUUCCAUAGAAACGGUUGAUCAUUGUUCUCUGAAAAUGCAUUGGAAUUUGUUUACAUAAGGCAGAGAAAGAAAGCUUCAUUUGGAGAAGACGAAGAAGAAAUCAAUUUGGGGGGUUUUAGGCGGGUUUAAGAAGCUUUGUAUGACCCGAUCCAUUUGAAAUUUAGCCCAAAUGAGAAGGAAUGUAAAUUUUGUAGUCCAGCUUAUUUCAAGCCCAAUAAAUACUGGGCCAAGAAACUUGUCUUGUCCCUUUUUUGGGGGGGAAAUUGGCAAAAAUAGCCACUUUUGUAUUUAGCUACUUUUUGACAAUUUUUUGUUUUAUGACAAAACUCAAAAGUAAACUUAUUACUUGAGAAAGUACUUAAAACACUUUUAAAUUUGACACGAAUUAUAAGUUUUAUCCUUGAAUUAAUGACAAGUUUAAUAACACUCAUUUAUUUGAUUAACGGAACUUAAAUAUAUUUACGAUCUUUCACAUAACAUAGCAAGUGAUUUCAAACUCUUGUAAGAGCAUGAUAUACUCUUCAUAAAAAGUCGACAGAAGUGUUAAAAAUACCCCAAGUGUAUUGACAGUCUUAGAGAUAUUUUCAAUAGGUCUCUCUGAAAUAUAUAGAAAACACUAGUAUGGUCAAAGCUUAUGCUCAAAUUUUAAAAUUUUAAAGGUAAUUCAAUGUAUAAUAAUAAAGUUCCAAUCCAGCUUUUUUUUUUUUUUUAUAAAAAAAUCAAUUCAUAGCUGGACUAGUACAAAUUCUCGUAGAUAACUAUGAAGUUUGAGCUUCGACACGUGAAUUAGUCUUUUAGUUCAAUAAAAUGAAACAUGGGUGAUCUUCAAUUUUUGAACAAAAUAUGUGUAGCAUGAGUGUUUAAUCGAUUGAUCCUAAUAAUAAAUCGAAGGUUAUCAUGUCAAGUAUUGUUUGAGGGUCACGAUAUCAAGCUUUUACAAAUAAUUUAAUUAAGCUAUAUUUGAAAUUUUUUUAAUAUAAAAUUAAAUUAAAGUAUAUUGAAUACUUAAAAUUGAUUGAUCGUAAUAUCUAUUUAUUACGUUGAAUUUUUUAUAUAAAUAAUGAAAUAACAAAUCAAAAUAGGACAAAUGUAUAAUAUAACAUAGCAUGUGUAUGAUAACUAAAUAGGAAAAAUAAUCUUUUUUAUAGACACAACUUGAAGAAAUUUAUGUACCAUGAUGGGAAAUCAAAGAACUUAGGGAAAAGCCAUAAAUUUACCUUUUAAUUUAUAGUGAAAAGUCAGUUACACGUUUAAAAUAUUAUGGCGACCUAUUACACAAUUAUUCUUGAUAAAAGUUUAACUAAUACCAUCCUAAAACUGAUGUGAAAAUAAAAUAAAAUUAAAAAGUAAAUUAGGCGCAUUUAAAUCAAAAUAAAGUAAAAAAUAUAUUGUUCUUUUUUACCUCCACGCCCCUCUAUUUCUUUUAGACUUCUUCUUCAUUUUUUUUUCUUAUCUAAACUCUAUAAUUUCUCACUCAAUAUCAUUAUUCUUAAGAAUUCUUCACUAAUUUAACUCAUACUUAAUUGAGCAAAGUUACUCACCAAAAAAGAUAAUUUUCUAAUCUAAAUUUUACAUAAUCAUUAGUAUUAAAAGAACAUUAAAGAGUCAAACCCUAAAUUCCUAAAUAUUUCUAACAAGAAAAGUUAAUUGCUCCUCACCCCCACUUAUCAAGAUUAUCAAGUAUACAUAGCGCUGCAAAUUUGAUAGAACGAGGAUUUUGGAUUCAAUAAAUUUUUUAUACAUAGCAAAAUCAAAAUUGACUCGACAAUAUAAAAAUUGAUCAAUAUCAAUCUAAAAUAUUUAUUUCAAAUUUCACAAUCCAUUACCAUCAAACACUACUAACUAAAAAGAAAUUUUAAAAUUAACAUUACCAAUUAAAGUUCAUUUGACCCAUAUUUGAAAAACCCAAAAGAAAGAAAGGUGUUUAUAAGAAGCUGAGAAAUAUAAGUGUCGUAUCCAAAAUUAACGUCAAUGACGAUGAAAAGUGGGACAAAACUAUAUUGUAUAAUAAUUUUGACUUAAUUUGCUAUCCAUGCCCCCCAUUUCUUCACGAAUUUUUUAAUCAUAUUUGUUACUCCGUCGAUCUUAAUUGGCAUAAUAGUUUAUUUAAUAUGUUUUAUAAUUAGAAGAAAGGAUUGAAAAUGUAGUUAUUCAGGAUAAAAAGAAGAGAAAAGAAUAAAGAUAAAAAUGGUGUCAUUCAUGUAAGGAAGAAGAGAAAAGACAGAGGUAAAAUGGUUAGGAAAAAGGUGAAAAAAUGAAGAGAGAAGAUACAAUCAAAAUCGGUUAGUAAAAAAAGUGAAAAAAUUAAAAAAUUAUACGUGUAUUCUUGCACAUUAUCUGGCAGACGAGUGCACACAACUUUAAUAAAUGUGACUGAUUUUGUACAUUAGGAGGUGAUAUUAGUUGCAUUUUUAACAAGAAUAAGUGUGUAAUAUAUCGCUAUAAUACUUUAAACGUAUAAAUAACUUUUGAGUACAAAUUUAAGAAACUAUUUGCGUAUUUUCUCAAAAACUUACUUUAAAGAAUGUGAGAUGAAGACGUUUGAAACAAAAAACAAAAAUAAUUACACAUGCAAACAUGGGCUCUAUACUCUAAAUUCCAACUAAACAGAUUUAAUUAGAGUCAAAUCAAGUCAGUUAACAAACUAACUUUGAUAUAAAUAAAAUGAAACAAAAUAUAUAUAAAAAGCUGCACUUUCCUAUAUUUGAUUUGUUUAAUUUUGAUACUUAGAACUUUUUCCUAAUCAAACCAACAAGUCAAAGGCAUCUCAUCGCUUAUUAUAAAGUUUAUAAUAAUAUAUUUAUUUAGUAUUACGCUAAUAAAAAGAUGAUAUCUAGUUUAUGCGUAAAAAGUACAUAAUAUUUUUUUGGUUUAAUUUGAAAUUAUAUGAUUCUAUUAUUGAACUUAACCUUGGAAAAAUAUACAAUACAUGAAAAUUGAUUUUCCAAGUAUUCUUCAAUUGUGAUUGUUCAUCUGAUUUUUAGGUAAACAGAGAGUUUUGAAUUUGUUGAAGGUCAAAUAUACUCUAUUCAAAAAUACUACGUAAUUGUUCAUCGCAUGUUAUUCAUUACCAAAAAUAGAAAAAGUAAAAAAAAAGUUUUUAAAACAUCCAAAAAAAAAACAUAUCAAGUUAUCAACUAAAGAGUUUGAAUUUUUUGAAACAUAUUCAAAUAUUAAAAGUAAAAAUAGAAGAAAAAAUAAACGUAUUUCAAAAAACAUACCAACUACUUAUUUGGUAAAAAAGAAAAAUAAAUAUUAAUUUAUAAAUAUUUGUAUGUAACCUAAACAAAAGAUUAUGAAAAAUUAUAUGAAUAGUGGUGAAAAAAUCUAUGACGAUAUAUGAAAUUGAGGUAUGCUUAGUACUUAUAAAACCUGUUUUUUCUAUUUUCGCUAAAUGUAUCAUGCUCCUCUUUUUUAGCAAUUUGUUUUCUUUAAAAAAAUAAUUUUUAAAUUUUUUAUCAAUCAAACAUAAAAAAAAUGUCAAAAAUAAUGAAGAUUGCUAUUAAUUCAAGAAGAAUUUUAUUUACACAAAAGCAUCAAAUGAUAUACGGUUGAAAUAUGUGUCAUGCCGUGCGUGCACAAACAUAGUGCUCUGGAAAAUAUUACUUUUGGAUUUGCAAUAAAAAUUGAAUAAAUACUUUUGAAUAAAGUGACAUUAUUCUUUUAGACUAUUAAAGAAUGACAAAAGUCUCAUAUUGGUAGUUAAUGAGAUAGGUAGACUCCUUAUAAAACUUGGACAAUCCUUCUUGCUUUGAACUAACUUUUGGAGUGUGAAUUAGGCUUAAGACCAAAUUUCACAUGGUAUCAUAGCAGAGCCCGUCUCGGGUGUUAAAAAAUGACAAAAGUCUUACAUUGAUGGUUAAUGAGAUAGUCUCGAGUAUUAAAGAAUGACAAAAGUCCCACAUCGAUGGUUAAUAAGAUGGUAGACUCCUUAUAAACCUUGGACAAUCCUCCACAAACACUUCCACUUCCUUUUCACAAUUUUUUGUACUCCAAUAAAUUUCUCUUUUUAAUAGUAUACAAUUUAAUUUUAGAUUUUGUGAAAUAAUUUAUAUUUAUACAAAUAUAUGAUAUUUUACAUUAUAAAUAUAUAUUCUUAAUUUAUAUAAAAGUAAAAUACUUUUGAAUAAAGUGACAUUACUCUUCCAGGCUAUUAAAGAAUGACAAAAGUUUCAUAUCAGUAGUUAAUGAGAUGAGUAGACUUCUUAUAAGGAUGGGACAAUCCUCCUCCCUUUGAGCUAGCUUUUGGGGUGUGAGUUAGGCCUAAAACCUAAUUUCACAUAGUAUUAUAGCAGGAUCUGUCUCGAAUAUUAAAGAAUGACAAAAACUCCUUAUACCUUUUCACAAUUUUUGGUACUCCAAUAAAUUUAUCUUUUUAAUAGUAUACAAUUUAAUUUUAGAUUUUGUGAUAUUUUACAUUAUAAAUAUAUAUUUUUAAUUUAUAUAAAACUAAAAUACUUUGAAACAUUACAUAGCACACGACAACAAUAUGAUAAGAUAUGGUAUGUUUGAAGAAUGAGUACUGGUCUUUGACGUUACGUUAAAAGAAAUUCUAAUUAGACAAAUGUGUCCAAAGUCCAUGUAUCUUUGGCUUAUUAUUAUAUUCAAAAAUCAUGAAACUUCUACACAUAUUCUAUAGUCUAACAUAAUUAUCAUAUAUAUCUCCAUCACCACAAAAAGAUAAAAAUAUCCACUGAUUGAAUAUUUUGUUGUCUAUACAACUAAAAUAAUGUUUGCAUGCACUUGACAGAGAAGCUUUUAAGUACCUUUAAUUAGAGGGCCAGAGAAAAUCUUCUUGAAUUUAAAGUUAUCACUUUGAAAUUGACCUCAUAGAUUUAAAUUUAAUUGAGAGUUUAAUACGAAUUCAAAUAUCAAUAAAUAAAAAAGAGAAAAUUAUAUAAUUAAUUUAAAAUAAUAUAACAUCAAAAAACCCUACCAUUUAAAUUAAUCAUGAAAAAAUCCUUUAUUCUUCUCUCUUAAUAUAAUAUAUACAUUCCACCUCUGUCACAUAAAUUAUAAGUUUGUUUACGUACCAGUACAAAUGUCAUUAUUGAUGCAAAAUCUCAAAUAUUUCAAACCUAAAUCAGUAUGAAUAUGAUUUAUAGUAAUGCAUUUGAUAUAUAACUUAUAUAUCUAAUACAUUACUUUUGUAUCAUUUUCUAUUGUAUCGAGCAAAGAAGCAAUAUAUCAGUGAGUUUUUAAUAAACUUGAGGUUAUUGUAAUUUAAGAAACUAUCCAAUAUAAUACGGUUAACGUCCAAAUUGUUGAGAUUUCUACACUCUAUACUCCCUCACUUUAAAAAAGAAUAAUCUUAUUUCCUUUUUAGUUUGUUUAAAAAAGAACGACCUCUUCUUUUUUUUUUUAGCAAACCUUUAACUUUAAAUUUUCACGUGACAUAUUUAAGGCAACAAAAUUAAAAAAUAUUUUAGUAUAUUUAUCAUAACUUUAAUUUAUAUUUUUAAAACAGGGAAGCCCACCAAAAGCGAUAAAAUAGAACAAAACGUGCCCGGCCCCUUUUAAAAUCUUUCAAUCAUACAUAUUACACGUUUUUAUUAUAAAUAGAACAAGCAGCACUACACCCUUUUGGUUGCUCAACAAAAUACCAUUAAUAUAUUGCUAUGGCCACAGAUGAUAAUCGGAAUAUCCAUCGGAAAAUCGGACGGUCGACGACGAGAACCAAGUGUCCGGCGCCGUUCUUAUCGAAAACUUACGAUCUUUUGGAGGAGCAAGAAGAAGAAAAUAGUAAUCGUAAUAUUAAGGUUGUUUCAUGGAAUGGUGAAGGAAAUGGAUUUGUUGUGUGGUGUCCAGAUGAGUUUUCUGAGGUUAUGUUACCUAAAUACUUCAAGCACAACAAUUUCUCUAGUUUCAUUCGUCAACUUAAUACCUACGUAAGUCUCGAUCUAUAUCUUCUUUCUGUCUCGAUUUGUUUCACUUACUUUUCGUUUUAAUUAAUAAGUGGAAUCACGGUUGUGAAACCAUAAUAUUUCGGCAAAUAAUAAGGUGAAAGAUAAUACAAAUGUACCUUAUGGUUUAAAAAAAAAAAACCUAAAAUUAGUCCCUUCAAUCAUAGGCCCAAAGAUAUGUUAUUUCAAAUUUUCAACCAAUUGACUCAAUGGUAUAUGACAUGUAUUUGUUGGUAAUUGGUUUGAUAAUUUUGCUGUGGAGUUAGUCUACAUUGGUGGCCUAAAGUAAAUUUAUUAAGCAAUUAUAUUAGCAAAAUUGUAGUCCAUUUGAUAAACUUCUUGUUGUGUGAUCUCCACUAAUUUAUUUUUGAAAAAAAUCACAUAAUUAAUUGCUGUCAAAUUGGCCUACCUAUAUAUUUUGCACCGCCCUUUAAUUUUAGUUUAUCACUAAAUAUUUAUUUAUUGCUGAGUUUAUAUUUUUACAUUAUAAUACACAUUUUUUAAAAACUUAUGUCCCCGUUAGAUACUUCUUUCGUCUCAUUUUAUAUUUUCUACAAAUAGUUGAUCCAUUUUAUCUUUCAUUUUAUAAAAAUCAAUGCAUAAAUUAUUAUAUCGUUUCUUUUUUACCCUUGUGAGUUAUUAGCCUUGAAAAUACAUGUUUGACCAAUUUAGAAAAAAACUUAAAUAAAUGAUUCAUAUUCAUUGAUUGAAAAUUUGAGUUCCAAGAAAAUAAAAUAAGGAUAGAAAGAUAAAAUUACAUCAUUUCUUAAUACAGGUGCAAAGUAAAAAUGUGAUAUACAAAAUCAAAAUUGAAAAUCACCUCAUUUUUUAAAGUAUAAACGUGGAAUUACAUGAAAAUCUUUGGUGGUCUUUGUCCAAAAAAGCUUCCAAAUAUUUAUUUUGGAAAGAUCGUGAAAAAAUAUUCUAAACUUUUCAUUUCAUAUUUGUCAAAAUUUUGGUCUAUAGUGACAUACAUCUCUUGGUGACUAAAAUGGUAGUCAAAUUGGUUGAAAGCCAAAACCGAUCAACAAAAUCAUCCUACUCCAAAGUCAAUUUUUGAUGACAUCUUGUCCUGCUAUGGUUUCGUGAUGAACUUAUUUUGACAAUAAAAUAGAAUACACUAUUUCAUUUACAAUCCUUUUGACUUUUCGAUAAAAAUCUCACGCACUGUCAAGAUUUUGAAAUUCGUUUAUACGAUUCACAUGAUCUUUUUUUGAAAGCGAGUUUUUAAAGCUUACUUUCUGCUAUAAAUUAUAGGGUAACUCAAGAUCAGAACUUUAUUUAUUUAAGUCUUACGCAUAAUAUAUUAACGCGCACUUUAAAAGGCAGAAUAAAGCGGUGGGUUGAUUUUUAAAGUAGAGUGUGGAAGUGAAACUCACCCUUUUAUUACUACACCAAAAAUGAUCAUUAGUGACAAUUAAUUCAUAAUGACCGCUAAAUAUGUAUUUUUAGUGGCAAUUGUCAUUUUUUGUAUAUGUCCCUAAAGCCUUUAGCGACAUUCAUUCUAAUGACACUUAACUAAUGCUGGUAAAGACUUAAACACUCUUUAUUAAUGUCAAUAUUUAAUGCCGCUAAAAGUUAUUUUUAUUAUAGUGUUUCUUGAUGUUAGACUUUUACAAUCUCGUCUUUUAUUUUAUAUUAGAUUUCUACGAACUUGAUAGAAAAUCAAAUAACUUUUAUUUGUGUAUUUAUUUGAUUAAAUUUAUGUAUUUAAAUUUAUAUAGGGAUUCAAGAAAGUAGCAUCAAAACGUUGGGAAUUUCAUCAUGGAAAGUUCCAGAAAGGGUGUAGACAUUUGCUAGCAGAAAUAACAAGAAAGAAAUGUGAGCCAAGUGUAUUUCCUACAUACUUAAAUCCUUCUAAAAAGAGCACAUUAUUAUUAGCUACAAAUAAUAAUGAUCAAGAGAAUACAAUUACAAGGCAACUUCUCAUGGAAGAGAAUCAAAACUUGAAAAAGGAAAGAAUGGAAUUGCAAAUGCAAAUUGCACAUUUCAAAACAUUGGAAAUGAAGUUGUUGCAAUGCCUUUCUCAAUGUGUGGAAAAUCCACAUAACAAAACUAGAAGGUUGUUUUAGAUUGAUACGAGUGUUUUGUAUAUCAAACUGUUUUUUUUCUCUUUCUGAAUUAUAUAUGUAUAAUUAUAUAUCCUAGCCACAACCUUAUUUACUCUAUCUUUAGAUGACUGAACUAUUUUUUUCUUUUUUCCAAGAAGGGGAGUAAGGGAGAAAAUAAUUAAACCCCCUCCCAUGCAACCCCAAAUCUCAAUAUAGUUAUGAUUUUUAUUUGGUAUGUUGCAUAUUUAGAUAGUUAAUUUGAUUAAUAUUUUAAGUUAAUUAGAUUAUAUUAAUUUGAUAUGUUAAAUAAAAAAUUUAGAUAUUCAAAACUAUAUGAAAAGUACUAUAAUAAAUUGUAAUUUUUCGCAUAUCAAUAUGAUUGAAAAAAUACUGUUAGUUAAAUUUUUUAUAUAAUUUGAUUUUAAAAAAAGAAAUUAUGAUAAUGAAAAGUGGACAGUGAUAUUAAUUAACAAAAUUGAGAGUUGAACCUUUCAAGUCUUGCACAAAUUAAUUAGUUGUUCUAGUCGUAAGUUAAUAUAUUCGUUUCAAAACAUUGAUUAAUUCUAGAACUAAAAUUUCCAAAAGAAGAACUUAACAUCUAACGUUAAUUUAAAGCCAAUUUAUUCCUUUGGAAAUUCUUGCAUUUUUUCUGACUAGAAUUAAGAGAUUUGACUUUUAUUAAUAUCAACCUUAAUUUCUAAUUAGGUGAUUGCUUUUGGAAAAAAUCUUUUUGGCCAGAAUGAGAUUUUUUUUAUGUAAUUUUAUUAAAUAUUUUUACCCUUUUAUUUUUAAUACCUUAUACUAAAAAAUGAAAAAAAGUCAAUUUAUUUUUAUAAUAAUAAAAAUUAUAAUUUUUAAAAUUUUCUGAUCAUUUACACUUGUUUGCUUUUAUUAUCAAGUUUAUUUUUUUCUUGGCCACAGUCUAAAUUGACUACUUAUAACUUCAAUUAAUUGAUCGGAAGAAAUGCAAGAGUGUAGGUGAGAAGUAAAUCAUUUGUAGAACUAUGAUUAUAUCAAUACGCAAACGCAACUUAAAUUGAUACUAGUAGUCAUAUUAUCGUAAAAGUUUCUUUAAGGAAAGUUGAGUUUAGUUUGAGACGUGUCGAGAAUAUUAUUGUUAAGAAUAUUUUAUUUAGAUAAUGAAUAAUAUGUUAUAAGACGUAUUUUUUUGAAAUUAAUCAAUUUUUUUUGAAAAUUAACUGAGAGCAGAAAUAACAGAUUUCAAGAAAGAAAAUUUAAUUUUACUUUAGAUAAGAGAAAUAGAUAUAAAAAGUUAUAGAUGUUUCUCCUACUACUAGUUAAUGAUUUGUAAUAAUUAAAUUGACUACAUUAAAUAUCGUAAAUUCAAACUAUUCGAUAAAACUUUUGAAGGGUCAAGAUACUUAUUUUUAAAAAUUAAGGCAUUUAGCCAAGCUUUUCGCCAAACAAGGAGUGUUAAUUUUUCCAAAUAUCACAAUUAAUUUAAAUUUAAAAAGUAGCUGGAGUUGUAUAUUUUCAGAAAUUGAAGGGUGAAUAUGCAAUUAAUGGAACUUCCUUUCGUCCUUCUCCUAAACCCCGCGUAAAAACUCCCUAAAACCCUAAUCACAGUGCUUCACAGAGCAGGAAUUUUUGCCCCAAAUUUCACCGGAAAAUGCAAGUGAAUCGCCGGAUUAUCCAAGCCCUAACCGGAAUUACUAAUCGAUUUUACCAUUCCGACAAGCCGAAGAAAGUGUCACUCUACUCUAAAAUAAGUCCACUGGGAAACCCUAGCUGUAGUGUAACCAAUGAACUAGAUGAAUGGGUUUGCAAGGGCAAUAAAAUCCGAUUCGCGGAGAUUCAACGCAUCAUUCUUGAUCUUCGUAAACGCAAACGCUUCAGUCAGGCCCUGGAGGUACCACCUAUCAGUUCUUACUUCUUUUUGAAAGUAAAAAAAAAAAUUGCUUUUUCUGUUUAUUGUUUUUAUUUUGUUGAAACCUUUGCAGCUAAUUGAAAUACUAGAAAUAGAGUAAUCUACUUUUCUGUUAUUGGAGUUGUGGAAUUGGUGAAGCUGCUCAAGUGUUAGUAAUAAUUUAGGACUUGUUUUUAUGAUUGAUGAUGCCCAGAGCGGUCCAGUUUGUGUGUGCUUGGACUAUUCCACGGGUACCUGCUACCUCCAUUCGUAUAUGACCCUAAGACCUCAGGGCGAUCAUUUGGGGUGGUGGUGGUGGUGGUAGGGUUCAUCAAUGUUACUCAUUUAUCAGAUUCUUCUGUUUCAGCAUGUAUAUGUGUUCUUUGUCCUGACUGAAUGGAUGUUAAUUGUUGAGCAGGCUUCCGAAUGGUUGAAGAUUUCUGGUAUUUUCACUUUUUCAUCAACUGAACAUGCAGUACAACUGGAUCUGAUUGGUAGGGUUCAUGGGUUUCCUGAUGCUGAAAGCUACUUCAAUAACUUGAGCAAAGAAGAUAAGAAUGAUAAGACAUAUGGUGCUCUUCUACAUUGUUAUGUUCGCCAGUGCCAAAUGGAAAAGGCAUUGACACAUCUGCGGAAGAUGGAGGAGGAGGGUGUCUCUCUAUCUUCUGUGGCCUUCAACGAUAUAAUGUCACUGUACACGAGAACUGGUGAGUAUGAAAGGAUCCCUGAAAUGCUACACCAUAUGAAGGAAAUUGGGGUCCAACCUAACAAUUUAAGUUACAGAAUCUGUAUCAAUUCGUAUGGAGCAAGAUCAGAUAUUGAGGGGAUGGAGAGGGUCUUAAAUGAAAUGGAGAAUCAAUCCUUCAUUGUCAUGGACUGGAACACCUAUGCUGCUGUGGCAAAUACAUAUGUUAAAGAAGGCCUAAAUGAUAAAGCAAACAGUUUCCUCAAGAAAGCGGAGGAGAAGAUCGAUAAUAAAGAAGGGAUUGGGUAUAACUACCUCAUCUCUGUACAUUCUAAACUAGGAAACAAAGAUGAAGUCAUAAGAUUAUGGUUUCUCGAGAAGAGUGCUCUAAAGAGGUGCAUAAAUCGGGAUUAUAUAAAUAUGUUAGAAGCUUUUGUGAGACUUGAUUCACUUGAAGAAGCGGAGCAGUUGCUCAAAGAGUGGGAGACAUCUGGUAACUGUUAUGAUAUCAGAGUGCCAUACAUAGUCAUUAUAGGGUAUAUGGAUAAACAGCUAUAUGAAAAGGCAGAGACCAUGCUUGAAGAUAUAUCUACAAAAGGGAAGAUACUAACACCAAAUAUUUGGGGGAGGCUGGCGGCAGGCUACCUAGAUAAAGAUAAGUUUGAGAGGGCUGUGAAAUGCAUGAAAGUUGCUCUUUCCUUGAAGAAGGAUAGAAAAGGAUGGAAGCCUGACCCUAAGGUCAUCAUGAGAAUACUCAGUUUGUUUGCGGAGAAUGGCAAUGUGAAUGACGCUGAAUCAUUUUUUCACUCACUGAGGCCCAUUGUCGCUGUAAACAGAGAGAUGUAUCAUGCCUUACUAAAAUCAUAUAUAGCAGGUGGUAAAGAAGUUGAAAGCCUUCUAAACAAUAUGAGAGAUGAUAACAUUGACGAAAAUGAAGAAACAAAAGUGAUACUUGGAAUAAACCAAUGAGGUUCGAAAAGUUACAUAUUCUGUAGGAAUUUCUUCAAUUGUCAAUUCUAGAUAACUGUUUAGUCUAGUCAUGGACAUGUGUUUCUCCAGGCUUGCCAUGUUCAUAACAGUUUAUGCCGAUCCUUUGUUUUUCCUCCUUCCAUAGUUCUUGGUUUGUUUUCUUCUCCUCAUAAUGUUGUCCAUUCCCUUGAAAAUCAUUGCCAAGUCUUUCUGAUUUUCUUCAUCAUUAUCUAACUCAUUUUCUAUUUCCUCAAAGAAGGUUUUGAAUAUACAACAUUCAAUCUCUUUCUUUCCCUUCCAUGGUUUUGAAGACAAGUUUUCUUGUAAACGAUAAGCUUGAUUCGAAGUUCAUCAUAUGACAUUUGAACCAGACUUUCAUAUUCCAUUGCAUCAACAAAAGGUUUCCACUCUCUAGGCAAAAUCCUCAGAAAUUUUUCUGACAUGUUCAUCACUAGAGUAGGAUCUCCCUAAAGCCCUGAGAUCUCUAAGAAUUUUAUUAAUCCUCCCGAACAUGUCUUUAAUGGUUUCAUCUUCUUCCAUCAAGAAAGUAUCAUACUCAUGAAUCAGUUGAUACAUCCGACCUUCCUUUAUUUUCUGUGGAUUAUCUCCAACUUCUCCCACAUUUCCUUUGCAGUCUUACAUCUAUAGGUGUUUUUGAACUCUUCCAUGCUCAAAGCACAGUAAAGUAUGUGUUUGGCUCUAGCAUUGGUUUGCAGGUCAUCCAUUUGUUCUCUUGUAUAGGAUGCCUCGUCGUCAUGUUCCUUUCCUUCCUGAUCACCAGGAAUUGGUAGUGGUCCGUUCUGUAUGAUUAGCCAUGAUUGAAGGUCAACUGAUUGCACAUACACACUCAUUCUAGCCUUCCAAUGACGAUAAUGUUUUCCAUCGAAGUAUUGUGGCCUUGAAUCUUCUUCUUCUGGUUGAAUAUAUCCUUCUGCAAUGUGAUAACUAGCCAUUGGUGUUUUCUCACUUUCUGCUAUGCAAAAACAAACUUGUGAGAGGCUUAAGAAAAUAUGCUGGAACAUAAGUCGAAUGUUCCAAUGGCAGUCACAAUUAUAUUAUAUAUAUAUACAAAAUAUGAUUUUAAAUUGGAAAAAUUAUGUGGUUAAGCAAUCUUAUACUACUUAAUCAGUAGUUAUAUCUAUAGUUUGCUAUAAUUUUCACUCACGACUAACAUUAUAUAUUAAUUAUGUAGGCUGACUUCGAGUUUGUAUAAUUUGUCACAUUUGUAUGUAUAAAAUAUACAAAUAUAUAUGUAUAGUAUAUAGUUAUUUAAUCAGUAUACAUCUACAAUUGACAUCUCUCCUAUUCUGUGACCUCCCUCGCUCGCCUCUCUCCUCCUUUUUACUAUCUCACUUGCCUCUCUCCUCUCUCUCACAAUCGUGCUUGUUUUUUAUACAAAUGAAUAUUAUAAUAUACAAUUAUCUAACCAAUAUACAUAUAUCAUUCAUCUCUCUCCCAAUUUCGCUCGCCCACUCUCUGCUCUCUCUCGCUUGCCUCUCUCCUAAUCUCUUAAAUUCACUUGCCAUAUAUAUAAGUACAUAUGCAUAAUAUACAAUUAUCUAAUCAAUAUACAUAUAUAAUUUACUUCUCUUCCAUUUUUACCCCCUCUCUCGCCUAUUAUACAAUGUUAUCACUGCAUAAACUAAUUUUAAUCAAAACAUAUAAAAAUACUUGCGUCUUUGAAGUGAUGAAAUAUGUUUUCUCGUCGAGCAGAUUGUUUUAUUUUUUGACGGAAGCAGCUCUUUAUAUAGCCCAUGUUACAAAAAACUUGGAAAAAUUACAUAAAUAAAUAUGUUUUUAAAAAUAAUUACUGAUUUUAGUGAUAUUUUUUGUUUAUUACCAUUUAUAGCAAUAUUGUGAUAAAUCUGUCAUAUGUAUUAAAAGUGAAUUACGUAUUCAAUAUAUUUGAAUUAUAAUUGUUUUUGAAAUAUAUUAUAUUUGUUUGGUAAAAAAUUAUCAUAUUGCAUUAUAAGUGUAUUAAAAUGUGUGAUAAAUAUAUUAUCCAUCAUUAAAACUUGUAUUAUGAAUAAUAAAUUUAUCUUUUGUAAUAUGUAUUAAACUUAUAUUAUAAAUGAAUUAAAAGUGGUCAAGUGAAAAAAUAAAAUGUUAUUGCUACAAAAGAUAAAUAUUUUUUUUUACUAUAGUAUAUUUAUGUAAGUUUCUAUAAAAACUUUACCAAAAUAAUUAGGUUUCCUUUUAAAAUAUUCUCAUAGUCUCAGUUUCAUUUAGUAAGUUACCGGUAAUAAUACACCACAUAUUCGCAAGGGAAGGGACAUAACAAAUUAGUGAUGUAUUAAAAAAUAUACAUCAUAUGAAAGCUUUUUAGAUUUGGUUCAACACAAGUGUAAUCUUUUAAAAAGAUCAAGGAAGUAUUAGUUUUCGAUAAACCAUCGAGAAGUUAUGCUAACACACUGAAUAAAUAUCAAACUCAGGACUCACACAAAUAUAGAGACUAGAGUAACAGCAACCAUCUCUAAAUGUGCUGCUCUCAUAACAUGAAAUUCUUGUUCAAAUACCAUCAAAAUCACGUCGACACAACAUGUAAGGCCUCACAGCUAACAUGUUAUGUCUGAUACGCGCAACCUGGACUGGUGGGGGGUUCUUCUAUUCAGAUAAUGUUGACUUCAAUUCACCCCCGCUAUGUAAUUCCAGCACGAUAUCACAUCCUCCUACAAGUUCGCCUUUGUAAUACAGCUGUGGAUAAGUUGGCCAGUUAGAGAAGGUCUUCAGUCCCUGCCUUACUUCUUCGUCGGAUAGAAUAUCAAAGGAUCCAAAAUCAACCCCUUCCUCCUUCAAGGCAUUUACCACCUUGGAGCUGAAACCACAUCUUGGAGAAUCUGGUGUACCCUUCAUGAAGAGCAUUACAGGUGAGGAAUUCAGUAGAUUCUUUAAACAGUCUUCAAGACUAACUUUCUGGUGUAUCCCCUUCUCAGUUAGAACCUUCCUAAACUCACCGCUCUUUUGCAUCUCCAGUACAAUGUCUGAUCCACCAAUAAGUUCACCCUUUAUGUACAGCUGUGGAUAACUAGACCAGUUGGAAUAAACUUUCAGUCCUUGACGGACUUCAUCAUCAGAAAGAAUGUCAAAAGUCUCAAACUCCACUUUCUCCUGUUUGAGAAUAUCCACCACCUUUCUGCUGAAUCCACACCGGGGUUCAUCAACUGUUCCUUUCAUAAACAGCAUAACUGGGCUAGAGUUUAUCAGACCUGCAAGACGAGUAGUCAAGGCAGUACUCAAGCCAGAUUGUUCAGAGAUGCCACCCUUCCCACCCGCAGUUUUAUUCGGUUUAGUUUCAAGAGAAUCAGAGACCCCAACCCCGUGAUCCUUGAAAACAUCUGUAAGUUCACCACUCUCAUGCAUAGUUAUAACAAUAUCACAACCACCAAGAAGUUCACCCUUGCAGUACAGUUGAGGAUAUGUUGGCCAAUUGGAAAAUUUCUUCAGACCCUCACGGACCUCACUGUCCAUCAGAAUAUCAAAACUUCCAAAUUUGACCUUCUCUUUCUUCAAGAUAUCAACGACUUUCUGACUAAAACCACACUUGGGUUCUUCUGGGGUCCCUUUCAUGAAAAGCAAUACUGGAUGAGAAGAAACCAGCUGCUGAAGUCGCUUUGUUAGCCGAUCAUCAAGACCAGAACUUGACACUUGAGGGGCACCGUUUUCUCUAGACAACUCCUGAAUUGCUUCAAGAACAGAGGGACCUGCAGCCAUUCCUAGGCUAGCAGGAGCGGCAGGAUCCCCAGGAGUGAUUGACCCAGCAAUUUUUGCAACCUUGUUAGCCAAACUAGAUGGAUCGGCCCCUUCCAAUGUAUCAACAGCUUUCCCUUCCUAAAAUAAGUAAAGCAAUAGCACAUUAUAGAUGGCAUGACAUGCAAAACGUAGGUUCAAAUCAGAGGUAAUUGUUCAAAUGUCACAAACAAUUACAGAUGGAAGUGAUUACUGCUACCACUUAUGAGAUGAACCUAACAAAUUUUCUAAUCAAAUUCACACAAUUAGUGAAUACCUUCACUUAAUUUUUGAAGAAUGUUAUCUUGGAUUUUUGUGAGGCAAUAUCAUAUUUGUUAGGCUAAUACAAAUGAAUUUAAUGUUUCUUUAUCUUGCAAACAGAUGUUCACCUUUUCAAAAUAAUUAGCUACAAAUAUCUGUCCCAUUUUCAGAGAAGUUAGUGACUCAAAAAUUUGAAAUGCCACAUUGAUGAUUUAUCUACUGCAUAAGCCUUACUCUGAGACUUGCAUAGAGCCACCUAAAGAUAAUGGCAAAGAGACAGACAGUGGAAUCUCCAAAAGACAAGUGAUUAGGGAAAACAACAUCUAGCAAUCAACGUAAUUACCCCCUGAUGAUGUGAUGUUUAACAGAAGACUAAAAUUUGCAAAUACCAAGUACUGGUCUAGCAUAGAAGAACUACGGAAAUGAAGAAGAGAGAGUAAGAUUGUUUCUGGACUUCUAUAUCCGACUGCACUCAUAGAGUUCACUGAAGAUUUACCAACUUAAGGAUGCUUUCAGUAGAAAGUACAUGAUUUUAACGAGAAAGAUAGCCGGUGUUGACAAUUUGUAAAGCUUAUACAGUAAGAGAGGUCGCAUACUUCCCAUUGCCCUUCACUUAAUUGCCACCAAAUAGUAGUGACAUCACAUGAACGCCUAAAGAUGCAUAUGGUUUUCAAAGAUUACGAGCACAAGAAUGACAUGUCAUUGGCAGAGCACAUUCAAGCAUAGUCUCUACAGAAAUAAAUGAAGAAAUGAGAGACAGUUUUAUAUUCAAGUACUAUCUGGAGAACAAAAAGGAACUCUGAAAAAUUAGUAGAAUUUUAUUUUUUUAAGUGGUUAGGUUAUUAAGGAUCUUCUGAAUAUAUUGUUAUUCUGAAGACAUACAUUUUCAAUGUAAAAAGUCUCCUCUAAGUAGGUAGACUGUUCUUUAUAAAUAAAUUAAAAAGAAAAUCAUUAGGUUAAUAAUGUAAUAAAAAGGUUGAAACAGAAUCCUCAUUUCAAUACUUUAUUUGUUGGCAAAACACAAAUAAAUUCAUUGAGUUAAUCGCUUAUAAAACUAUGGAACUGAGCAGAUAAGUAGCAGUAAUAUCAUCAUGACUCUCAAUGCCACGUCCAGUAGCUAUACAAAACAAAACAUCACAAGUGAUGAGUCCUGAACAAAGCUGGGGGGGUCUUUAGGAUAACUGGUGCAUGAGCUGAGGAUUACUUCUGCUACUGACACUCCAAAACAGUAAGGUCACAGAAUAGCUAAGAGGGAGUUGGAAGCGAACUGAGCGAAAUGCAGGUAGAAGUCGCACAAGAAGAGGGUGAGAAACUCAUUCCCCAUCUAUUCAGAAGCAAAUAAAGGUUUACAAACAGAAACAGUCAUAGACAAGGAAAGCAAAUUCCCAGGUUAGAUACCUUGAAGAAGACAAAGUAAGGUACAGCAGAAACAGAGUGCAGCUCAGAUAUCUCAGGCUGUUCUUCAGCUUCAACCUGAAAUACAAAGACAGAAGCAAAAUAAUCACCAUCAGAGAUGAGCUGAAACAUCAGAAUGAGUGAAUGACUAAUGAGCAUAUUCCAGUAGCACCUAGACAUAAUUCAUUAAGGAAUUCAGUUUACAGUGGCAUCAACCACUAUAGAAGAAAAGUUCAUUCCCAAUUCACUAUACUAGAACAAGCAACUAUUCGAGUGUCCUGUGUUCUCCACUUCUCUGCUUGCAGGAAGUAAAAUUUGUAGAUUCUAUUCAAGCAGACAAAUCAAUGUAAGACCGCAGAAAAUCAAGAGAGGAACAAUAUAGCUAGGCAACCACAAGAACAUAUCUGUCUGUGUGUGCCCCUUCAGGGAGACAAGUUCUUAGUUAAAAGCUUUUUCCUUAUCUUUUCUGUGUCUAUUUGAGUUAUCACGGGCGUUCAUUUUCUCAACUUGCUUAAAAAAUUGAACUACCAAAUUGAGGUAAGAGUUAAGACUGAAGAAAAUUAACAGAGCAAUAACUAUCUCCACCCUCCCCAAAAAAACUUGGUACUACAAAGUCCUCAUAUUUAUAUAACAUAGCUGGGUAACCACAAGAACUCAUAUACUCAGUGCAUCCAUUCAGGGAAAUAAAUUCAUAGUUAUUCUUCUAUCCCAAUUUAUGUGACACGCUUUCUAUUCCAGUCUGUCCCAAAAAGAAUGUCACCUUUCUAUAAUCAGGAAAAAUUCACUUCAAAAUUUCCUCUUUUACCCUUAAAAUGAAUUGAUUUAUAGCCACACAAAAGACUAAGGUCUGUUUUAAACCACAAUGUUAAAAGUCUUCCUUUCUUACUUUAAACUUUGUGCAAGUCAAAUGGUACCACAUAAAUUGGAACAAAGAAGUACUUGUUUUUCCCUAACUUUUUGUGUUUAUUUGAGUAAAUAAUGCAUGUUCAUUUCCUCAAACUGCUUUUAUUUCUUCAACAUCUACCAAAGAAUGUGACAAUGAGCUUAUAAGAGGUAAUAAUAGUUGCCUAAUAGAGCAAAGCUUAUUUCUAUUAGUACCAAGUUUGACCCAAAAACUUUUAACAGUAGCACCCUAAAAUUUCACCAAAGUUAGCCUAUUGUAUAGAAGAUUGAGUGUCAUUAAUGGAGAACCAUAUUUUGGUAUAGAUUAUCUAUAUCUUGGCAUACUGCUCGUACACAAGUGCUUUCCCGAAUUAAUAAAAUUAUAUAUCUUAUCAAAACAAUUGUUUACUACAAACCAAGACUUACUGUGCAAAAGGAGAAAUCUCAUUGUCACUACAAGAAUGAUCUACAUUCACUACAGAACCAUAAACCAUUUAAAGCAUAUCUUCCCAAAACAAACAUUAAAAAAAAAACACUCCAAACAGAAACAAUAUGUCCAAAACCCUUUAAAGCAUAUCUUUCAAUAGCACAUCACAAAGCUUUGUAGUUCGUCCAAAAUCUUAUGAACUGCCAUUUUUACUAAUGAAGGUGGUACCAGGUACUGGCUUGCACACAUUUGACUAAUCUACCAAUGGUAAACCUGCUCACCAAGGCUAAACACCCUGGUGUUAUAACCCAAAUUCAAACCAAUAAUCUCCAAGUUGUCACUCCUAUGCCUAAACCACUGGACUGUAUUGAUAUCGAUAUAAAGAAUUAAAAUAUAUAUACUUUCUGAGUUUUAUUACAUGUGAAAACUGAAUAAUGAACAACAAAACCCUAAACCCUCAAAGCACAGCAAUAAAAAACAAACCCAGAGAACCCCCUCCAAACAAAAGAGCAUAUCAAACAGAAAAUAGCAAUCCAACAAUUCAUUCAAAAUUCCAUAAGCCACAUCAAAAACCAUUCAAUAAAAUACCAGAACUCAACCAAUAAAUUAAAAAGAUAUAAACUUGGUCCAUCUCCAAUAAAGUUUCACAAAAGAAGUGUACAAAAACUCUUAACCCUUCACACCUUAGUUAAAGGGGAACAAAAACUAAACAACCCCCAACAAGAACAUAUCAAGCAGAAAAUCAAUCAAUAACGCAUCAAUAUAUUUCAAGAUCAUUCAAAAUUCCAUAACCUAUCUUAUUUUACCUUUCUCAGUAAGAAAUAUAACAGCGCCAGUCAUAUAACCAAAAAUAAAACCAGAAAUCGAUCGAUAAAUUAAAAAAGAUACAAUCUUUUUGGGCUUCUCUUCCAUAUAUGCACAAAGUGAGAAGAUUUUGCUUACUCUUAGAAAAUGGGCAUGUGGGAAAUCAGUAGAAAGAUGCGAAAAGACUUGGUCCAUGUGCUUAGAAGCUUCACACCAUGAUGCCCAAAAGUGCAAAAUCGCCGGUGAUCCGUCGGCGACAAUCUUAUCAAGCUCCGCCUUCGAUUGAACUUCCUUCACUGAUCCUCCUCCGCCCAUUCUCGAUUCUUUCAGAUUCUCUAUUUCUCAAUGAGAAGUGAAGUAAAUACCCUCAAAGAACAAUACGAAAUUUCUCCUCUUUUAUGCUGUUUUAUAUAAAAGCCUACUUCUUUUUCCCUUUUCUUUCAUAUAUAUAUAUUUUUAAAAAAUCUUAAAUUCUUCAAAUUUUAAAUUGUGAUUUAGUCCUUUUUUUUUUUAAAUAAUAAAGUUGAAUUAUAAGUUUAAUAAAUAAUAAUAAAAACUAUUAUUUUAAAUUUUAUAGAAUCGAUUAAUGUUCAAUACGAAGAGAUUGUUCCUAGUUUAGUUAGUAUUAUCGUCAAUUAGUUGAUUUUUGUAAAAAUAUAUGUAAAACAUAAGUUUGUAGUCAUAACAAGUAAAUGCAAGUAUUUAUUUAUCAAAUAUGAGUUUACUUAUUUGGUAAAAUUGUAUAAAAAUUGAGAAAAUUUUGCUAAUUUCACAAAUUAUAGGACUUAUAUAUUUAUGAGGGAAAAUAUAAUUUAAAAGUUAAAUGUCUAACAAAAUUGUAAUUUUAAAUCAACAUAUUUGAAAUUUUAAUUUCGUAUCAUAAUUUAAAUUAUUAAUUAAUCAUAUCAUAUAUUUAUAUAAAAGAGAAUUCUAGGCCCGUCUACGUAGCGUCACGGUGAAAUUUAUUUAUUUUCAAAAUUAGUCUUCAUUUUUCAUGAAAAGUUGCGACUUUAAAUAAGAGUUGUGACUUUUAUCUUUUAUGACGACAUUAAUAAAGAGUUGCGAUUUUUAUCAAAAGUUAUAACUUUUAUGAUAAGCUGCGACUUUAAUUAAGAGUUGCGAUUUUUAUGAAAAGUUGGGACUUUAAUAAAGAGUUGGGACUUUUACUAAAGGUUGUGAACUUUCCGAAGGAUUGUAACUUUUUUUAAUAAUUAUGACCUUUUUGAUAAAACACAAUAAAGAUUUGUUCACACUAUCCUUUGUUGUCUAUAAAUAAUGAGAUUCUCUCUGAUUUAAAAACAACAAAAGUUCUGAUCUUCUUCUUUUUCUUCUAAUUCCUCAAAUUUUAAUAUUUGUAAACUUUGCUCCUGUGGAGUGACUUACUAACACACACUGCUUUUGUAUCAAUAAGUUGAUGAAUAAGACCGUUCCAUCCUAAGUGGAUGUAAUUUUGUAAGCCUCUGGGAUUGGAGGGGAAUAGUUUUCUUAAGGGAACAUUGUGCAUUCACCGGAUUCGAUUUUUUCCUUUCUAUUUCCAUUUUGUUUUUACAUAUCCUGGUAUGUUUUUUUACAUUCAUUAUGCUUAUGAUAUAAAUUAUUAUUUUUGAGUACAUGUUUUAAACUCUAUUGUUUAUGUUUCUGCAAAUUAAUUAUCUCCGAUUAUAUUGAACAUAUACACAUAUAUUACGGAUAUUCAUUAUGCAUAAUAAUUAUACUCAGUUCCAAAAAUUCAUGUUUUGAUAUUCUAUUAAAUUCAAUGACUUACAUGUACUAUAUAAGAUUACAUAUUAUUUAUUUUUACAUAGAUAGGAAAUUUUUCGCUUAUCAGUUGAAGAAAUUCAUUAUGCAUAUUCAAAAGUUAUAAUUGCUUUCAUGUUCAAGAGUAAUUUUUUUUUGAAGAUGUUAACAAUUUUUUUAAUUUUCUUCUAAUGCAUAUCUCACAUUUGUAUAAUUUAUGCAACUUAAACGUUUCUUUUUAUUACGAAAUUUCUUUGAAUAUAUAUUCUUAUUUACUUCUUUAUUUUACUUUUUGAUUAAAGAAUCAAUGAUUUAUUAUUUCGUCAGUAGUUCAUUUAUUAGAGAUUCUUGAGUUAUGUGAUAAUGUCGAAUAAUCAAAUUCAUGUUAAAAUAUUGCUAAUAUUUUUAAGAACCUACUUUGAUAUUAUUUUUGAUGUGUGAAUAUUAGAAAAAAAUAUUACAAAUUUAAUGCAAUUAAUAUUUUAUAACUGUGCGAAGUGCGAGAAAAUUACCUAGUUUAAUAUAAUAAUUUAAAAUCACGUCCAUGAUCUUAAAAGGGGUAUUCUAAAAUCAAUUUUCUAAGAUGCACUAAAUAACAGUUUAUAACGGCAUUACAAUUUUAAUGCUACAAAUAAAAUAUAAAAUACUCUUUCUUUUUUGCCUUCAUGUAAAAUUAAAAAAAGAGAUAUUGUUGGAAGUUAUUAAAGCAAUUUCAUCACUAAUAAUAAUGCCCAUCAUCUUGUGAACUCAACUAGUUGUCUUACUGUGAAAUUAGGUCUUAUAUCUAACUCACACUCUAAAAGCUAACUCAAAGGAUUGUCCAAGCAUUAUAAAAGGUUCACCUCUCAUUACACCGAUUUAAAUUUUUUUCAUUCUUUAACACCCCACCUCACGCCCAGUGCUUAGCGUUUGGUGCGUGGAAAAUUUUGAUUUUGGAGGGUCCCAACAUCGGGUGAGAUGUGCCCCGAUGUUGGAUCCCCCAAAAUCAAAAUUGCUCAUACACCAGACGCUAAGCACUGGAGUGUUAAAGAAUGACAAAAAAUUUCCACAUCGGUGAUUAAUGAGAUGAGUGAAUCCUUUAUAAGGCUUGAACAAUCCUCCUCUCUUUGAGCUAGCUUUUAGGGGAAGUCAUAUGCAUCGAUGUUAAGAAAUCGUUGUGUCCUAAAAUUUAAGUAGAAUAAUAUAUUAUAUUAUAUACUCUCUGUCCUUCUUUAAUUGUCCAUAUUUCUUUUUUAGUUGUCCCUAUUUACUUGUUCAUUUUGACAAAUCACGAAUGAAUUAAAAAAAAAAUCUUAUAAUACAUUCAUUUAAACUUCUUGAAAAUUUCUAAGUUUUAAUUCAUGUCAUUAUAACUUCAUUAUGCUAAUUAUUGUUAUCUUAAUAUGCUCGUCAUUUUUAAAGUGGAUAACUAAAUAGGGACGUAAGACGUAUUCCGAUACAUGAGAUGUGUUUGUCUAUCCCAUCUAAAUAACCAAAUGGCCUAAGUAGUUCAGAUACAAUGAACUUCAACUGGACUAUGUACUACAUAAGGUAAAAAAAACAAGUUGUUUAACCAUUCGAUAUGAGAAUUCCAUGCAUUGACACGAGACUUACAAAUCUUUUAUUGGUGCAAUAUGUGUAGGUUCAAUUUUUAUUAUUCUUUUACCCUUUCCAUUUCUUGAUCUCCAUAGUAAAAUAAUUCAUUUUUUUUAAAAAAAUUCCAAAUAAUGCAAUUCCCACAAACUGUAACUGAGGUGAGACAAAAUUUUGUUUUCCUCACACCAAGUUCAUGUUUCCAACAAAUUAAUACAUGCAACCUUAAAUGUUGCCUCAGAUUUGCCUUUUUUCUGGAAAAGCUCCAAUUGUGUUAGGAACUUGUGGCCUAUAUAUACUCUUGUGUUGUAAUAGUAGUAUAGCAUCAUCAAUAAUCAAAUCAAAGUCUUUUUCUUAAAUAAACUUAGCUAAAAUGGCAGCUCCAACAUGUUUGAACAUUUGUUUUAUGGUUUUGCUAAGCUUAGCAAUAUGCUCUGCCCAGCCUAUUGAAGUUGAUCAUCAUCACAACCACAAAGCUCACGCUUUAAGUAAUAUCGGAGGAGGCAGUGAUGGCGGAUUAGGCAUUGGUGGUGGUGGAGGUGGAUUUGGCAUUGGCUUUGGUGUUGGUGUUGGCGUUGGUGGUGGAAGAUUUGGGUUUGGCAUUGGUGGAGGUGUCCCUGGUUAUAUACCUGGCUUUGAUUUCCCAGUCUAUUCCCCUGAUUGUGGUUAUGUGUGUCUUGUUAAUAAUCCUAGUGGAGAAGUCACAGAAUUCAAAAUCUCAGGAUUAUCACACUUCACCAAACCAUACAGAUGCAGGCCAGGGCCAAACAAGCGCGGAGACAAAGAUUUUAACCAUGAACUUCUUCUAAACUUUGUUUCCACAAUGCAGGACAAACAACAACAUCUCAGUGGAGAUGUAGGUCACCAUGUAGGGGGAGCUAGACGUUUAGGAUUUGGUCGUGGAAGUAGCAGAGGAACAGGUGGUUUUGAUACCUCUGAUCAGUAUGCUACUGAGGACCCCGGUUGGAGUAUUGAGGGCUGUGGUUAUGUAUGUCCAGGCAACAGUCCUGGUGGAGGAAUCACUGAAUUCCAUAUCUCAGGAAUAUCACAUUUCAGUGAACCUUACAGAUGUAGCCCAGAUGUAUGUGACACUGAAGAAUGUGGUGAGUUUCUUCUACGCUUUGUUUCUCCAAUGCAUAACAAACACGAGAACCAACAUGGUCAUCAGUCAGAGCAGCAAGACAAGCAUGAGAACAAACACGGUCAUCAGUUAGACCAGCACGACAAACAUGAGAACCAACAUGGUCAUCAGUCAGAGAAGCAAGAGGAAGAUAUCACAAACAAUAUCCCCGACCCAUCCACACCCCAAUCCUGAAUCCAAGAAAAAGAAACUUAAUAUGUAAUAAUAUUAUGUAGCUUCAGCCAAAAAACAGUAUAUACUGUCUAAGAAGCUAACUAUUUACAAGGAACUUAAUAAAACUUGUUUUAGUUGAAUUGAUUUGAUCACACUAAAAGAAUCUCUGUCUAUUGAGAAAUGAAUAAGCAAGCAAAACAAUUUGCCCGUAUCCAAAGGGAUCCACCAAAUCAUGCUAUUGUAGUGCAAAAGAGAUCUAAAAUGGCUUCUGUUCAUCAAACUCGGGUUUUCUACCAAGCCCGAGGUAAGAUGGGCUAAUAUUGGCCAUGGUGGGUUCUUAUACUGAAAAAAGAGAACAUCCUAGUUAUAGUUGCUUAAUGCAACCUCCAAAAACCAAAACAAAUGUAAGACAACAUUUUGUUAUUUUCUCCUCCAAAUAGACUUCAUGUCGCAACCCGCUGUAUUCAUAUGCUCAAGCCAACUAGACCUAUGAGCCUAAUAAUAUUAUGCGACUCUCAUCAUGUUUUACUUCACUGAUUCUGUCAACAAUAACAGAAGGAGAAACCUAAGCACACUGUUUGUUUCAAAAACCAUGAAUGGAGCCACAAGAUUAUUAGGUAACUGAACAUGUUUAGUAAGAAACAGUCGAUUGAUGAUGGAAAUAUUAUUAUUGCAGCAACAUAUGAUUUCAGAUUAUUUAACAAGAUUGCCACAAAGUAGCAUACCGUUUGUGAUUUAACAUUAUUACAAUCAUGACUCAACUUGGGAAGAUCGUCAAAGUUUCAAAUCUUCCGUUUCAUUCAACCGUAGUAGCACCAGCCCAAUUCGCAGCACUUCCCCUGCGCGGAAUGCUGUGGAGUUUGGUGUACAAGUCCACCUGGAAAAUCACAGCAUUGACAUUUCCUUCAUCAUCUUCACGCGCAAUUCCUUUUACUUUGUGCAUUGGAUGAUCAAAGCUUAUUAGCCCAGUGUCACUUAUGAAGAUACAACCUGUACAAUCAGCUUUAACACAUUGAAUUCCGCUGGAUCUCCAAAAACAUCAGAUUAAACUUAAAGAGGAUUUGAUUAAGAAACCUGGAGGAAACGGGGUAUACAAUUUCCCACAAGAAGCUUGAAUGAACUCUGAAUCAUCAGAACAUACUAAUGAUCCAUCUGUAGCAGUUCCCCAGUGUAACGGCACACUUCCAUCGCGAUCCUAUACAUUGUUUGGAGAUACAUCAAGUUUAUUCUGAUAAAGGAGCUAGUUAUGUUACAUAUACUGAUCAUAACAUUCAGAUUCUUUUCCACUAUCAAUAUAGUAUAACGUGUGAUAGUACGUUAGAGAAUCGUCUAUAAGUAACUUUAUCACUCACCCUAGCAAGAAAAAGAGUGGAGGCUUUAUAGUCAAAGAGAAUGAAAGCAAAUUUGCCUUCAAGUUCUUUGAUGACUUGAUCAGGAGGGUAUGGCGCCCGAUCCCUUAAAACUUUGUAAGCCUCAACCAUUAUCAUAGCUUCUGUAGCUUGUCUUGAAAGACCAUAAUAUUUCCUCAAAUCAAAAGUGUUGUCUAAACCACCAGAAAAGAUGCAGAAUAUGUCAUCCAUCACCACAAUAGACCUAUAUAUGUUACACAAAACAAAACAAGCUCCUUUAGUCAGUCACCUUGUUUAUUGCCUCUAGUCUUGAAAUAUAACAAAAAUCCCCCCUUUAUGUAUACACUCAUCAUCAAUGUACAACAACACAAAUCCAAGCACAAACAAGAAAAAACACAUUAUCAUUUUAUAAAAGAAACAAAUUAGUUUCAGAACAAAACUUUAAUACCUUGGAUGGAAAGGGUUUUCAUUUCCAUGAGAAAAAGCCAUGAAAUUCCCAUUUGAAAGGUGGUAAAAAGUUGAGUCUGGCUUCCAUGAUUUGAAACUUUCUUCAAUCU
Molecule: long non-coding RNA, 28659 nt
Filed under: Solanum melongena (eggplant)
Lineage: Eukaryota; Viridiplantae; Streptophyta; Magnoliopsida; Solanales; Solanaceae
Description: long non-coding RNA (SMEL_LNC000058)
Source: RNAcentral